AGUGAACGCUGGCGGUAGGCCUAACACAUGCAAGUCGAACGGCAGCACAGUAAGAGCUUGCUCUUACGGGUGGCGAGUGGCGGACGGGUUAGGAAUACAUCGGAAUCUACUUUGUCGUGGGGGAGAACGUAGGGAAACUUAUGCUAAUACCGCAUACGAGCUACGGGUGAAAGCAGGGGAUGUUCGGACCUUGCGCGAUUGCAUGAGCCGAUGUCGGAUUAGCUAGUUGGCGGGGUAAAGGCCCACCAAGGCGACGAUCCGUAGCUGGUCUGAGAGGAUGAUCAGCCACACUGGAACUGAGACACGGUCCAGACUCCUACGGGAGGCAGCAGUGGGGAAUAUUGGACAAAGGGCGCAAGCCUGAUCCAGCCAUACCGCGUGGGUGAAGAAGGCCUUCGGGUUGUAAAGCCCUUUUGUUGGGAAAGAAAAGCAGCAGGUUAAUACCCCGCUGUUCUGACGGUACCCAAAGAAUAAGCACCGGCUAACUUCGUG
This 492-nucleotide ribosomal RNA is filed under the name uncultured bacterium. RNAcentral's name for it is "partial 16S ribosomal RNA". It matches the Rfam family "Bacterial small subunit ribosomal RNA", at positions 29 to 507 of the family's 1533-position model. The record is from RNAcentral.